Molecule: ribosomal RNA, 264 nt
Filed under: Dyella sp. ISO377_OTU5394
Lineage: Bacteria; Pseudomonadati; Pseudomonadota; Gammaproteobacteria; Lysobacterales; Rhodanobacteraceae
Description: partial 16S ribosomal RNA
Rfam family: Bacterial small subunit ribosomal RNA
Source: RNAcentral
UUGAACGCUGGCGGCAUGCCUAACACAUGCAAGUCGAACGGCAGCACAGCAGUAGCAAUACUGUGGGUGGCGAGUGGCGGACGGGUGAGUAAUGCAUCGGGAUCUACCCAAACGUGGGGGAUAACGUAGGGAAACUUACGCUAAUACCGCAUACGUCCUACGGGAGAAAGCGGGGGACCUUCGGGCCUCGCGCGGUUGGACGAACCGAUGUUCGAUUAGCUAGUUGGUAGGGUAAUGGCCUACCAAGGCGACGAUCGAUAGCUG